UACGAAGGGGGCUAGCGUUGUUCGGAUUUACUGGGCGUAAAGCGCACGUAGGCGGAACGUUAAGUCAGAGGUGAAAUCCUGGAGCUCAACUCCAGAACUGCCUUUGAUACUGGCGAUCUAGAGUCCGGAAGAGGUGAGUGGAACUCCUAGUGUAGAGAUGUGGAGGAACACCAGUGGCGAAGGCGGCUCUCUGGUCUGUAACUGACGCUGAGGCGCGAAAGCGUGGGGAGCAAACAGG
Molecule: unclassified non-coding RNA, 238 nt
Filed under: uncultured Alphaproteobacteria bacterium
Lineage: Bacteria; Pseudomonadati; Pseudomonadota; Alphaproteobacteria
Description: contains 16S-23S intergenic spacer region
Rfam family: Bacterial small subunit ribosomal RNA
Source: RNAcentral